UUCAUGCUGUCUGUCAAAAGAGCUCCAUGGGCUGCAAUGGGACAGAAGAGGUGACAUAAUUCUCAGAGCAAAGAGGGCGGCUCGGCUGAACUCCGCGGAGGCGUUCUUUUAGCCUAAACAAAUACGACCGCGAAACUGUAAAUAAACCAAGACCGUUCCAGGAGAUGCUAUAGACUUUUGCUGAUGAAUACACAAAAGCAGACCAUCAGACAGACACGCUAGCCUUAAAAAAAUACACUGCGACUUAAAGCUUUUGGAGCUCAGACUGAUUCUGGGAGCAACGCUGUAACUACAGAGGCGCUGUGGCAAUUGUGAUCUUCCGAAGGGCAUCAAAUCACACCUCGAGUAGCACAUUGAAAGCAAACACGGGCUCGUGCCCGCACAGCUCGUGUUCGGGGCUGGCGUAUCAGGACCAGAUGAAGUGGAGCGGAGGCGCCCAGGUCCACCAGGUGGAGAAGGCACAGAGCUGUGGCUGGUUGUGCCGAGGUGAGAGCCGGGAGCCCGUGAGACUGGUGUCAGGAGCACACAGAGGGAACCCUGCAGGUACUGCCCGCGCCCGAACAGGUCACGGCCACAGUCCCGCGGUGAGGAGUGUGAGGUCUCGGUGUCUGCUCGUGGACCCCAGGCCUAAAUCGUCCUAGCUAGGGUUCAUCCCUCAAGUGUGUGUGUUUUGGUUUCUGGGAAUUUUGUUCCACGUUGUGGCCGGUCCCGGUCACAGGCCCUGGUUUAUUUCUCAAGGACAUCUGCAGAGGGGACUGGGAUGAAGAGGACGCCUUUAAAACGGCUUUAAUCUCUUUUAUCAGCCAGCAGGAGUUCUUCCCAUCAAUUGGGGGGCUUCUAUGGAACCUCCAAAUUCUUCACCCAACAAGGAGAAUAGGGUUCAGAGAAAGGCUGUGCAGACGCCUUCAAUUUUUUAAGAAUGUAAAUUUGAUAAACUGUCAUGAAAGCCAGCACCUCGUGUUGGUUACAGUGAAGCUCUCCCCUGCUCUGACAGAGAAAGGCUGUGCAGACACUGUGGGGACAUAAAGAUGUCACACACCAGAAGAAAACUGUUCUGUUAAGAUUU
This is a long non-coding RNA of Phacochoerus africanus (Common warthog), 1066 nucleotides long. RefSeq lists it as uncharacterized. The record is from RefSeq and is a predicted model, not a curated record. The transcript is spliced from 3 exons. NCBI's taxonomy places the organism in Eukaryota, Metazoa, Chordata, Mammalia, Artiodactyla, Suidae.